Long non-coding RNA from Sorghum bicolor (sorghum), 612 nucleotides. RefSeq lists it as uncharacterized. The transcript is spliced from 3 exons. NCBI's taxonomy places the organism in Eukaryota, Viridiplantae, Streptophyta, Magnoliopsida, Poales, Poaceae. The record is from RefSeq and is a predicted model, not a curated record.
ACAGGGUGGCCGCCCUUCUUCUCCUCCAGCCGGGAUCCCCACGACGAAUCAUCGGCCGCCCUUCUUCUCCUCUGGCCAGAUCCACAGGAUGGCAGCCAAAUCCAUGAUGCAGUGGUAGCGGCGGCGGCGGCGGCGGCUCAUGAUGGAUUAUGGUGGCAGCAAAUCUCCAACAAGCUAGCAGCAGAGCUUCAACAUCCGAGGAACUGCUUGCCUAAUCAAGUGGUGGUUCAGAGUAUUGAUGAGGGGUAUUGAUAAUAAAAACUCCAUUCAGGGGCAGCCGUGGUGUCAUCAAAGGCAGUGGCCAAUGAUCCAGCAGAGGGGGCAGCGUGGUCACGCAGCUCACAUUCAAAGUAUUUUUUCUCCAUUUGCACUGACAGGCGAAAGCUUGGCCUGAGCUUCUUAAUGCUUCUCGGUUGAUUUUAUUGUGUGUGUUCAUUUUUUAAGCAUCAGUGCACCAAAUCAUUAGUAAGAAAGAGGAACUGCGCCCCCCAUUUAAUUGGUUCUACAUGUGCUUAUUUGAUUCUUAGCCUAGGAGUUUCCUUGUGCAGCCAAUAGGAGCAAGGUUGAUUAACAUAUUUCAGAGGAUUAAUGCAUAUAUGAAGGUUGGUUGUC